AUGUAUCUUAUGUCGAUGGAUACUAACCUUGUUAUUUCUCAUGCCGAUACCAUGGUUUCCAGAAUCGAUGACGUUGACGAUGACACCAUUCGAGUCGCUCUGAAUGUAGUUGUUCCCGAUAACUACAUUGCUGAUCCUGCCAUUGAUGACGUUGACGAUGACACCAUUCGAGUCGAUCUGAAUGUAGUUGUUCCCGAUAACUACAUUGCUGAUCCUGCCAUUGAUGACGUUGCCGCUCAUGACGAUAUGACCACGAUUGAUGCUGAUACCAUCCGAGCCGAUGCUACCAAUCCUGAUGCCGCCGUUUCUCUGGAUUCCGCCGUUGUGGUUGUUGCCGACGUUGACGAGACCAACCGAGUCGAUGGCGGCUCCGCUGAAGUCCUGUCCACCAUCGCCGUCGUGGUUGAAGCUGUCUGUGUGGCCGCCAGUGUUGAUCGUGGCGCCGCGGAAGUUCUGCUUCCCGGCGCCGAAGUUGUUGAAGCUGUUACUUGUGCCUUUUCCUGUCAUUCAACACCAGCAACAAAUCAGUCAGUUGAAAACCCUGCGUGCCGCGCAAAUUGAUCGCGCACAGUUGGUCGAGGCGAUAUGAUCGCAACACAAUACAGGGCCGGAUACAGGCGAUUUUUUUUUUUUUUUUUUUUACAAUCACUAUUUUCAAUUUUUCAGCUCAGCUAUUAAUCCAACCAGGUCCUCUAGGUGCCCGUGAAGUUUAAAAGACAGAUUAAGAAAGGCCCUACGACUGGAAUUUAGGGUGUAAUGCGGCCCCCUUAAAUGUUCGGAUAUUGGGCCCUCAAUGAAUGUUGGAAUCUGGGAACCUCAUACUGAAAUUUCGGUAAAAUGGAAUCUUCGUUUUGCUGGCCCUUAAUAAGACAAUUCCCAUGGACCCUUUGGAUAUACUAUUAGUAUAGUGAAUCCCUGAAUACUAAUGUUUCGGUGGGAUCCCGGGAGAAUGUUUCUUUAGGUGUCUCCGUAUACUUAUGUCUCCGUAUAAUUAUAAUGUAUACGACGGUGAAACUACCAAUCCAUGUAUCUCGGUUUGCGACGUCGCAGACUUCCUGUCAUACUUAAUUUUUUAAAUGAAAAACUACUUAACGUCCAGUCUUGAAAAUUUCUGUUGAUAUUGAUCUGGUCUUCUUCAAAAAAAUAAAAUGCGAGCGUAGAUUUUUAAACACCGCAAACGAGAUACGUGGUUUGGUAGUUUCACCGUCGGUAUGUACCUUUGGUCACUUCCGCGACGUGUUCAUCAUAGUCGUGAUCGUCGUGUUCAUGUUCCUCUUCCCAUCUAUCUUCUUCCUCGGCUACCUCGCGUUUGGCGUUGCUGAGGCCGGGCGGGGUUAUCCACGCGGCCGUAUUGAAAAGACUCCCGAAACUAUCGAAAAGGCCUCUGGCUUGAAGAGAUUGUUCACCAUUGGCUCCUGUCUUUUCCGGAUUCAGAUGGAGCAGUCCGAUCUUGAUUUUCUCCCUGGAGGACUCAGCGCAUACGAGCGCGGAAAACGGCGCCUAUAACACGAACCAUCGAAUAAUGGAUCUAUAACUGCUGAUACAGACUGUGCAACUUCUUUUGUCUUGGAGGAAAAACCCGAUUAUCCAUCAAUAGUUUCUAUAUUUUACUCGCUAAAAACUGUAAAUUUAAGACAAAAGUUACCAUCUAAAGUUCAUAGUUUUUCAAGAUUUUCGCAAUUUUAUUGCAAAGGAUGAAGUUGCACAAUCUUAGCAUCAUUGCAAUGCUAGUGGUUCCUGUUUGCAAAAUGCAACCCAUAUAAUCUAGGGAAGAGAUCCACCACUACGGUGCGCUGCCUCGCGAAUUACGCCUUUAAGAAGCAAAAACUGAUCCAUGAUGCGUAGCAGCAUUAAUACUGAGUAGAAUGACAUCAAAGGGUAACUUCAGUGUAAAUUUAUACCUGAAACUACGAUAAAGGACGUCGCCUACGGACUCAACGUGUAAGAGAGAGUAAUUAUAGCGCUAUCUCUCUCACAUGCACACAUCAUUGAGUCAAUGGGCGACGUCCGUUAUCGUAGUUUCAGGUAUUUUACAAUACAUUUUCAUUGAAGUUGGUGGCCUGAACCAAGAACUUUGAGGUUCCGUAUAAACUGAGGUUCAUCAGUCUACGUAGACGAAAUUUUUUCGUUGUGUUGAACUACAAAAAACUCACAUCUGUAGAUUAUAACAUGAAUACCCUUGCUAUUAAUUCUGUAAAUUAAGACUUACGUAACCGCAAUCGCUUGUCUACCUAUCAAAAAUUGGACAGCCAAUCAUAGAAGUUAUUUAAAACCGAGUUAUUGAACUACUCCAGACAUACAGUAAUAAUAACCAUUCCAAGAGAGUUUUUCUCAUCAUAAGUUCAUUCAAAGAGUUUUGAUCAAAUUGAAUAGUGAUCAAAGAACUAAAGUCGGUACUGAAUGCUACAAUCAGUUAAUUUGAAAAUCCCCUUCCCAAAUAAGUAUACCAAAAUCUAAGUAAUUGUAGGUCGGUUAAUGAAGAAAAAUAAUCUGUUCUAUGACGACAAAUACAUUUGAAGCACAGUACUGUAACCCUGUCAGGAAGGCUUCAAAACACUCAGAGAAUUGUUUAAUCCAUGGAACAUUUUGAAAUUAGUCUAUUUAGUUGCCAAUUUUUCAACGUGCAGCUAGUGUAUGCGUGUAUGGACGCAUAACGAUAAUUAUCUUACUUAAAAGUUGAAUUGGACAUUCUUGAAAUAAUCAUGAGGUUCAACGUGAACCUUUCAGGAGAAAAUAUGAAUCAUUAUGCGUGAGUUUUUACUCCGUCAAAUAUUUCAAUUCGGCUCUUAGGUUCCAGGAAUUUAGAAUUAUUUUACAACACACGCAAGAGGCGUGCCAUGUAGAAAAAUGAUAAUGCAUGAAAGAAAAAGCAACGUAAAACAUCUUGACUUUUCAGGAACCGAGAAGCACAUCUCACAGAACCAGGGAAGAUACGACACAAAACAGUAUCAACAACAAAUACAAAAAAAUUGAGUCUACAGUAAAAAUGGUCAUGCACUUAAAUCAGGAGGAACCCACAAGUAGGACAAUUCCAAUCAGCAAGACGGGAACAUGCGUCUCGAGAGCCGCCAUAUUUCAGGCUCAGUGAAAAACUAAAAAUCGCACGACCAACAUCAGCUUAUUUGUAGACUAAAGCUGCCUGAAUCAACUCCGAAUUGGCUGAUAGAUCAAGCUCCGUUAAAUCAUACUUUCCAGCAGGAGAGGUGCUUUAAUGUCACCCGAUCGAACCGUUAAUUUACUAAAAGAUCCUAACUCCAAAAAAUCACGGUUCCUGGUUUCGCCCAGCCAACACGGCUUCUUGAGCUCACGAGAAAAUGGUGCUUGGGUUCUUUUUUCAAAUAAACUGUUCGAUUGCGUGUGUACCUCAUACCUCGUGACCGUUUUUGCAGCACGAGCGCAAUAUCUAACCCUGACCGAUCUUGGUGACACAUCCAGGGAGCGACACGGAUUAAUGACAUUCGGAGCCAUUUGCGAUGCACGCUGGAAGGUUUUUUCUUCGAAUAGUCAUUUCAGCGGCGCAUCUAUCGUGGUGAAAAGACACUUUCGUGUUUUAAAGGUAGCCUUGAACAAUACAUGAACAUGCUAUGGAUUUAAGUGACGUUGUAGCUUCGUCGCUUUUCUCCCUAUCUUCUUAAACUAGAGGUUAUCCUUGAGGUGGCUCUCCGGCACUUUUGAGAGCGAUUUUUUUUACUUUAAAGUGGUAAAAAAGAUACUUGGAUUAGUUAAGUAGGUGGUAAUGUUCGAGAUUUUUUAAAGAAAAAUACGAUACGAAUAUACUUGUGUUUCUUUCAAUGAAUCCCUGAUAUUUCAUUCACAGGCGUUAGUACACAGGUUUGACCAAGAACUUGCUUAACCUUAGAUUUACCAACCGGUUCAAAAUAGGCCCGGCGCGGCGUCCCAUAAAAAUGUUCGUCAUUUUCCUAUCUUUCUACUUACAAUCUUUUGCCUCACUGAGUGAUCCACUCAAAACUGGAGUUCCAGCAAAACAGCAAAAACUGGAGACUUGUUCAGGACUACGUUACAAAAUCACGUCUUGGAGUCGAAGAGAGUAAUUGUGGACAAUUCAUAGCCGAAGAAUACCAAAUGGCGGUUUCCGCCAAUGCCACGAAAAGCAGAG
This 4117-nucleotide long non-coding RNA is filed under the name Bemisia tabaci. Its description in RNAcentral is "lncRNA ENSSSA1UGG002993". Lineage: Eukaryota; Metazoa; Arthropoda; Insecta; Hemiptera; Aleyrodidae. The record is from RNAcentral.